RNAcentral lists this ribosomal RNA (94 nucleotides) under Pteropus alecto (black flying fox). The record is from RNAcentral. Lineage: Eukaryota; Metazoa; Chordata; Mammalia; Chiroptera; Pteropodidae.
GUCUACAGCCAUGCCACCCUUAAUGUGCCUGAUCUUGUCUGAUCUCAGAAGCUAAGCAGGGUUGGGCCUGGUUAGUACCUAGGUGCUGUAGGUA